RNAcentral lists this ribosomal RNA (253 nucleotides) under uncultured bacterium. RNAcentral describes it as "partial 16S ribosomal RNA". It matches the Rfam family "Bacterial small subunit ribosomal RNA", at positions 524 to 776 of the family's 1533-position model. The record is from RNAcentral.
UACGAAAGGGGCUACCGUUGUUAGGAAUUACUGGGCGUAAAGCGCACGUAGGCGGCCUUGUAAGAUGGGGGUGAAAUCCCCGGGCUCAACCCGGGAACUGCCUUCAUGACUGCAAAGCUUGAGGAUGCGAGAGGUUAGCGGAAUUCCGAGUGUAGAGGUGAAAUUCGUAGAUAUUCGGAAGAACACCAGUGGCGAAGGCGGCUAACUGGCGCAUUUCUGACGCUGAGGUGCGAAAGCGUGGGGAGCAAACAGG